This 63-nucleotide transfer RNA is filed under the name Mukaria splendida. RNAcentral's name for it is "tRNA-Cys". The record is from RNAcentral. Lineage: Eukaryota; Metazoa; Arthropoda; Insecta; Hemiptera; Cicadellidae.
UGUCUUAUAGUUUAAUAAAAACAUUAAAUUGCAAAUUUAAUUAUGAUUAAAAGUCUAAGACUU